UGGGGAAUAUUGGGCAAUGGGCGAAAGCCUGACCCAGCAACGCCGCGUGAGGGAAGAAGGUUUUCGGAUUGUAAACCUCUGUCGCAGAAGACGAAGGAAGUGACGGUAUUCUGUGAGGAAGCCCCGGCUAACUACGUGCCAGCAGCCGCGGUAAUACGUAGGGGGCGAGCGUUGUCCGGAAUUACUGGGCGUAAAGGGUGCGUAGGCGGUUAAUUAAGUUGGAUGUGAAAUUCCCGGGCUUAACUUGGGAGCUGCAUUCAAAACUGGUUAACUAGAGUUCAGGAGAGGGAAGCGGAAUUCCUAGUGUAGCGGUGAAAUGCGUAGAUAUUAGGAGGAACACCGGUGGCGAAGGCGGCUUUCUGGACUGACACUGACGCUGAGGCACGAAAGCGUGGGGAGCAAACAGG
RNAcentral lists this ribosomal RNA (407 nucleotides) under uncultured bacterium. RNAcentral's name for it is "bacterial SSU rRNA". It matches the Rfam family "Bacterial small subunit ribosomal RNA", at positions 355 to 776 of the family's 1533-position model. The record is from RNAcentral.